UUGAACGCUGGCGGAAUGCUUUACACAUGCAAGUCGAACGGUAGAGGGGGGCAACCCCUUGAGAGUGGCGAACGGGUGAGUAAUAUAUCGGAACGUGCCCAGUCGUGGGGGAUAACGUAGCGAAAGUUACGCUAAUACCGCAUACGAUCUAAGGAUGAAANCGGGGGACUCGCAAGAGCCUCGCGCGAUUGGAGCGGCCGAUAUCAGAUUAAGUAGUUGGUGGGGGUAAAGGCUCACCAAGCCAACGAUCUGUAGCUGGUCUGAGAGGACGACCAGCCACACUGGAACUGAGACACGGUCCAGACUCCUACGGGAGGCAGCAGUGGGGAAUUUUGGACAAUGGACGCAAGUCUGAUCCAGCCAUUCCGCGUGCAGGAUGAAGGCCCUCGGGUUGUAAACUGCUUUUGUACGGAACGAAAAGGUUUCUAUUAAUACUAGGAGCUCAUGACGGUACCGUAAGAAUAAGCACCGGCUAACUACGUG
RNAcentral lists this ribosomal RNA (483 nucleotides) under uncultured bacterium. RNAcentral's name for it is "bacterial SSU rRNA". It matches the Rfam family "Bacterial small subunit ribosomal RNA", at positions 30 to 507 of the family's 1533-position model. The record is from RNAcentral.